Sorghum bicolor (sorghum) is the source of this 604-nucleotide long non-coding RNA. RefSeq lists it as uncharacterized. The record is from RefSeq and is a predicted model, not a curated record. The transcript has 2 exons. NCBI's taxonomy places the organism in Eukaryota, Viridiplantae, Streptophyta, Magnoliopsida, Poales, Poaceae.
AUGUAGCUAGCUUCUCUGCAGUCUGCAUACACAUAUCCCCAUAGCGGAGGAGAUCCAUCGUCGUCCAUCGAUCAGGAGACGGGUUCCAUGGCGAAACAGCAGCACCACCAGGCUGUUUGCAUGGUGUUUCUGAUGGCCUUUAUCAUCCUCUCUGCCAUGCACGCUGUCCCAGUGGAGGCAGGGCGAGCGCUACGUGAGGCAUCCUCUGUUUCAAGAUUUGACCCCCUGGACCCAAACAGCAGGCAUUCUGUGCCUGCUGGCGAGCCAUACACUCGCCCAGGAUGCACGAACGUCUACCAAUGCCAUGGAGCACCAUAAGCCUUGCUUGCUUAUAAGGCAGCUAGUCCGAUCCAGCGCAUAUAGCACAUGCUUACAUGCCUAAAAUAAAAAGCCUAGCUGAACCGCAUGGCGUCUUGUGUGUGCACAUGAAUUGUGCAUAUGUGUUAUUUGCCCAAAUCCUGGGGAUGCUAAUCCCUGCGAUUGAAGCAAUCGUGUUAUUUAUGAUAAAGUGUGUGUAAAGACAUGUAAGUGGCUGGUGUAAUUGAUAUGGUACUUAUAGAUAUCCAUAUAUAUAUACCUAAGAGCAUCUCUAACGGUUUUGCAA